Xiphophorus maculatus (southern platyfish) is the source of this 975-nucleotide long non-coding RNA. RefSeq lists it as uncharacterized. The transcript is spliced from 3 exons. The record is from RefSeq and is a predicted model, not a curated record. Lineage: Eukaryota; Metazoa; Chordata; Actinopteri; Cyprinodontiformes; Poeciliidae.
UCAGAGAGCAGCAGAAAUGAUGGAGUCAACCAGGCUGGUGGUCAUGAAUACAGCUCUCCUCUUCAGGAAGUCACUCCAACAUAUGCUGAGAUCAACCACCAGGCUAGAGCCAAUAGAAAGAAAAAAGGAAGUCCUGCAGCCACAGAUAAAACGGUUUAUUCUGGCAUCAGGUCAGGAGCAGCUCUGCACAUCGACUCUGCCAUGUAGGCUGCAGGAUGUUUUGAUUUAUUAUAGGAUUUAUGAUAUGGAUUACGCUCAUAACAUUCUUAUGUGUUCUGGUUACAAGUCUUCAUAAACCCUGUACUAGCUGAACACAGAAAUAUUGUCUGAAACUGAAGUAGGUAAAAGAAAAAUCAGACACACUCAGUAGUGUGAACAGAAAUGCUUUGUAAAAUCCAGACAGGCAGUAAUGUACAUAUUUUUAAUAUAAUUGAUCUGGAGAUCCAGGGUGUUGCUAAUAUUUUGAAUUUGGUCCUUUGCUGUUUUAUAUUCUGCAUCAGUUUUAUUUCUUCUUUUGCUUUAGCUUCCUAAACUAACUUUUAUAUAAUCAGGUUCCAUUUUACAUGAGUGAUGGUACCUUGCAUAUUAAAUUCAUUUCUGAGCUGAACAAAAUAGUCUUUACUAAAUUAAUUAUUCUCUUACACUUUUCAAUUGUUAACUUGUAAGUAUAAAAUUCUCAUCUGUUUUUUUUUUACAAUAACACUUUUACCUUUUUGAUACAACUAAUACUGUUGAUUUGUCUUUGUAUUUUACUUAUUGUAGCUUUUUAAACACAUAUUCAUUGAAAAUAACCUGUUAUGUAUCAAAUAUACUAUGUGGUUGUCAAAUUAAAGUGAGUCGUCUGCCCACUAAAAACUAAAUAUGACAACGAUUACAGUUACAUUCAUUGCUUCUCAAAGUAGAAGUUGCUUCUCAACUUCUACUUUGCAGCUGAGUGUGCAGUCAGAAGUUAGGAUAUCAUUUUUUUUACAUGUA